RNAcentral lists this ribosomal RNA (520 nucleotides) under uncultured bacterium. RNAcentral's name for it is "bacterial SSU rRNA". It matches the Rfam family "Bacterial small subunit ribosomal RNA", at positions 43 to 518 of the family's 1533-position model. The record is from RNAcentral.
CGGUGGAUUAGGCAUGCAAGUCGAACGGUAGAUAUCCUUCGGGAUAUUGAGAGUGGCGAACGGGUGAGUAACACGUAGAUGAUCUACCCUCAAAGUGGGGGACCAACCCAGGGAAACUUGGGCUAAUACCGCAUGAGUGCAGCGCAUAAAGCAUCGUUUAGGUGGGUGUUUUAUGCGUUGCAAUAAAAGGUGGCCUUCGGGCUGUCGUUUGAGGAUGAGUCUGCGUCCUAUUAGUUAGUUGGUGAGGUAAUGGCUCACCAAGGCGAUGAUAGGUAGGCGGCCUUAACGGGUGGCCGCCCACACUGGGAUUGAGAUACGGCCCAGACUCCUACGGGAGGCAGCAGUCGAGAAUAGUCUACAAUGGAACGAAAGUCUGAUAGUGCGACGCCGCGUGAACGAAGAAUCCCUUCGGGGUGUAAAGUUUUCUUUUAUAUGUGAGCAAUGCUUUUUAUGUGAAUAGCAUGAGAAGAGAGAUAUUAGCAUAUGAAUAAGCAACGGCUAACUCCGUGCCAGCCGCCGC